GGAUCGAUGGUCCAUCCGCAGGUACUUUAUGAAACCAUAUUUUCCUUAAAUAUCCAUGUUCUUUUACUUAACAUAGUCCACAGAUGAAGACAACGGUUCACUCUUCAGAUUUUAGUAGUUUGCCUCUGCUAAGAUACAUAAAUUAUAGUUGCAUUCCUCAUUUAAGCUUACACCUCAGUGGGGUAAAGUCGAGAGAUUAUUCAGUGCUACCGGAGCACGGGCCCCCUCUCUCACGUAUAUAUGGGUCCCACUCUCCCUUAAACAAGGAGCAACUGAAUUUUGUUUUCUUUAGGGAGGACUAUUUUUUAGUGUUUCUGGUAUAUAUCAUAAAUUUCUGAGUAAAGUGAUGUAUAAGCAAGAAACCUGCCAAUAAAAUCUCAUAUUUUAAAUGAGGCAUCAGGAUGGGGGAGUGGCAAUAAUAAUAUAUUAUCAAUUUUGAUUUUUGAAUCACUAUACUGACAAGAUGUGAGAAGUAGCAAACUAAAGGUAAGUAGGUUCAUAGCUUCAUCGGUUUUGGCAUAGCCAGCAACGAUACAAAUUCCUCACAUGCUAUGGACAACCUUAUA
This 566-nucleotide unclassified non-coding RNA is filed under the name Hevea brasiliensis (rubber tree). Lineage: Eukaryota; Viridiplantae; Streptophyta; Magnoliopsida; Malpighiales; Euphorbiaceae. The record is from RNAcentral.